Molecule: RNA transcript, 5815 nt
Organism: Nymphaea colorata (pocket water lily)
Lineage: Eukaryota; Viridiplantae; Streptophyta; Magnoliopsida; Nymphaeales; Nymphaeaceae
Gene name: phospholipid-transporting ATPase 1-like
Exons: 9
Source: RefSeq, a predicted model, not a curated record
GUUCCGCAUCAAAUACGGACGCAAGAAUUGUGCUUCGCCACUCAUCUCUCUCUCUCCCUUCCUGUCCGUCGCUCUCCUGCGAUCGCUUUCGCUUGCUCUCCCUUGCUCGCUAAGGUCUCUCUAUCAAUUCUUCUCAGACUUUUGCAGCAAAAACCCUUAGUUCCGAUUUCUGGCCAUUAGAUCCGGAAGAGAGUCGAAUCGGAAACCGAAGAGUUUCGGAUCGAUUGCACGAUAAGGGAGAAGGAGACGGAAGGGAGGAAUCGGUCGGAUCUUCGUUCUCCUUUGGUGUUUUUGCUGCUCGUGCAAUGCUGAUCUCUUGAUCGGCUCUGAUUUGUUCCCGGCGUCGUCUCGAGAUUAGAGAUCGGGGAGACCGAAUGGAGUUUGGAUUGGGAGUUUGAGAGACUCAGGUGGAUCCGUCUUGGUCUGCCUCACCCUCGUUCGUCCGGUGCUUUUGUUUCCUUUUUUGCGUUCUUGGGCGAAAAAGCAGGAUGUGGAGAUGUUGAUUAUCACUUGCGUUACUGAGUCACCAGCAUUGAAUGAAACGCAUCGAGCAUGUAGACAGAGUUAAGUGAUACCUGAGCCUUUUCUUUUCUCUGCACCCUUGGUGUUAUGGUUUUCUUCUGAAGCAAUUCUUCUCUCCUGGCGCUUCGUGUCCCGCAUAUAUUUAUUUCUCCCCAAGACAGUCCAGGGUUUAGCGAUAAGUAUGCUUAACGAUAUGUUUUGGCGAUGUUUUAUGGUUAAGGGGUCCUGGAAGGUAUUGGCUACUGGACAAUCCUGUGUUAUAUUUGCUUAUAUUCAGUAGUCAGCCGACUGAAGUCAGGGAGCUAGUAAAUCUGUGGAAAUUAGCUACUAUUUCUUAUUUUAGCAAAAGUGCAUGAUACAGAUUAGUAGUUCCUCUUCGUGAAACAGAUUUUGUAUGCCAUCGUUGAAAUCCAUAUUUGCGUGCCAGCUCAAAGGGGAACUCUUGUUUCCUGAUUCGUUGUAUCUGAAAGAGUAGGAGAUCGGAUAUCUUUUUUCAGAGAAGCAGCGCCAAGACACUCAUAUACUGUACAUAUCUACUUUACUGGAAGAGCUGAUAGGUUUUCAAAUUGGUGUUAUCUGUGAGGAGCUCUUUGAGAAGUUAAUAUGGUAGACUAGAUGGAAUGGCUUGGUAUCUCCUCGCAAAGGAACAUGAAAUUCCCUUGGCUAAUGCAUUUUGGCCAAGGACCGAAGGAGAAGAGAUUCACUGGGGGCCUCCUAUCUUCAUAAAAUUUAGAAACCCACUAGCUCUUUUGCUCCAAAUGAUCUGCAUUAUUUGUUCAUUGAGUUCUUGCAUUAAAUUUAAAUAUUAUGACUUCCAACCAGCCAUUGUUAUGCUCAAAAGGAAGUGCUGAAGUAUCUUCUAAUGGAUCUUCUCCUCCGCUAAGACGUGGUUCAUUCAGCUGCCUCUGUCACACUGCUUCUCAUUCAUCUUCCCACUUUAAUUCUUCAGCUUCUGAUUUUGAAGACACACACAGUAAUUUUGCUGAUUCAGUUGUGUCUGGGUCAAGGUUCCAAUCAGCAGACUCUCAGUACUUUCAGGGUAUUUUUGAGUGCCCUUCACAAAAGAUGGUCACAGAACCAAAUAAAUUGCUGGAUGUUGUCAACAAAAGUUCCCUUGAGAUAUCUGGGCCUGCAGUGUACAUUUCACAUGAGAAAAGAUCUUCUGUUUCAGGUAUCGAAAAGUCAAUAUCUCAAAGGACCCGCCAUAGAAGUUUGGAAGCAAAUGAAUUUCUAUCUUCAGAAGAGAAUUCAAGAUUGAUAUAUAUCAAUGAUCCAAGGAGGACAAAUGACAAGUAUGAAUUCACUGGGAAUGAGAUCCGGACCAGUAAAUACACUGUAAUCACCUUUUUACCAAAGAAUCUGUUUAUUCAGUUUCAUCGGUUGGCAUAUCUAUACUUUUUAGCAAUUGCUGCUUUGAACCAGCUUCCACCCCUUGCUGUGUUUGGUAGGACGGUGUCUCUCUUUCCACUUCUCUUUGUUCUAUUUGUUACGGCGAUCAAAGAUGGAUACGAAGAUUGGAGAAGGCACCGUUCUGACAGAAAAGAGAAUAACAGAGAGGCUGAAGUACUUCAAGGUGGUUCUUUUCAUCAUGAGAAGUGGAAAAAGAUAAGGGCUGGUGAAGUCUUGAGGAUCCAUGAAGAUGACACUAUCCCAUGUGACAUGGUGCUUUUGAAAACAAGUGAUCCAAGUGGCAUUGCUUAUGUUCAGACAAUGAACCUCGAUGGGGAGUCGAACCUAAAGACCAGAUAUGCAAGGCAGGAAACCACAAUGAUGGAUUUUGAAUCUGAUGCAGUAUUUGGACUCAUUAGAUGUGAACAACCAAACAGAAAUAUUUAUGAAUUCACAGCUGCUAUGGAACUUGAAGGACAGAAAAUUCCACUGGGACAGUCUAACAUAGUUCUGCGAGGUUGUCAGCUCAAGAAUACAAAGUCGAUUGUCGGUGUAGUUGUCUAUGCUGGUCAAGAAACCAAAGCGAUGUUGAAUAGUGCAAUUUCACCAUCAAAAAGGAGCAAACUGGAAGGUUACAUGAACAGAGAAACAUUGUGGUUAUCUGUAUUCCUUUUCGUCAUGUGUGCUGUAGUGGCUAUUGGAAUGGGUCUUUGGUUGAAAAAUCACAAGAAUGAGCUUGAUACAGUGCCUUAUUACAGGAGAAGAUACUUCACAAAUGGAGCUAAUAAUGGAAAAAAUUACAACUAUUAUGGCCUUCCCUUGGAGACAUUCUUUUCCUUUCUAAGUUCUGUCAUUGUUUUCCAGAUUAUGAUACCAAUAUCCCUUUAUAUAUCUAUGGAGCUGGUACGUCUUGGGCAGUCAUAUUUUAUGAUUGGAGAUAGAAGGAUGUAUGAUGAUAAUUCAGACUCUAGGUUUCAAUGCAGAUCAUUGAACAUUAACGAGGACUUAGGUCAGGUACGGUACAUUUUUUCUGAUAAGACAGGAACUUUGACUGAGAACAAGAUGGAGUUCUGCAAGGCUAGCAUAUGCGGGAAGAGCUACAGUGGUGGCACUUAUGUGAUGGAUCGUUCAGCUCAUGAUACUUCAGACACUCAUUUGGACAAGAUAGUCAUCUCAGAAGCCAAAGAAAGACACAGAUGGAAAACCAAGGCAGAAAUCAAGAUUGAUGCUGAACUUGUCUCACUAUUACAGAAAGGUUUAGUUGGAGAGGAGCGGAAGGCUGCACAUGAGUAUUUUCUGACUCUGGCCGCUUGCAAUACAGUAAUACCUAUCAUAACCCAAAAUGCAGCUUCUGAAAAUGGUGCUUCCGUUGUUGAUGAAGUGGUUGAUUAUCAAGGGGAGUCUCCUGAUGAGCAAGCUCUGGUUUCUGCUGCUUGUGCUUAUGGAUACACCCUUAUUGAACGCACAUCUGGGCACCUAGUCAUUGAUAUCCAUGGUGAAAGACUAAGGUUGGAUGUACUGGGCUUGCAUGAAUUUGAUAGUAUACGCAAAAGAAUGUCUGUCAUUGUGAGGUUUCCUGAUAACUCUGUGAAGGUUCUCGUAAAAGGUGCUGAUAAUUCCAUUCUCAGCAUUCUUGCUAAAUCUUCUGAUAGGACUGGUUCCAAUGGAGCUCUUUGCAGUGGUAUUAGAAAUGCCACUCAGAACCACUUGAAUGAAUACUCGUUACAGGGCCUGCGGACACUUGUAAUCGCAGCAAAGGAUAUCACUGAGUUAGAACUAGAUGAGUGGCAGUGCAGUUAUGCAGAGGCAAGCACUUCGCUCAAUGAUAGACCAGCAAAACUCCGUCAGACAGCAGCUCUAAUUGAGAGUAAUUUAAAUCUUCUUGGGGCAACUGGAAUUGAAGACAAACUACAGGAAGGUGUCCCAGAAACCAUAGAAUCGCUUAGGCAAGCAGGGAUCAGGGUUUGGGUUCUCACAGGUGAUAAGCAAGAGACUGCAAUUUCUAUUGGCCUUUCGUGCAAGCUUCUGACACAUGACAUGCAGCAGAUUAUUAUCAAUGGGACUUCAGAAGAAGAAUGUAAAAACCUUUUGGCAGAUGCAAAAACCAAAUACAGAAUCAAAACUGCAGGUUGGGCGAAAGAUGUCAACAGGAACAGGAGUAUCCAUGGUGAUCAUCUGGUUACGCAUGAUGGUAGUGUCUCUUCUAGCAUUGGCAUUGUUGAAAACGAAUUUCAGUCUUCUAGAUUUAGUAAAUCAAUUAAAGAUCUUCCUGAGGAGCAAUCUAGGAGAGUAGCAGCCACGAAGAGGUCCUCACUGGCACUCAUAAUUGAUGGUACUAGUCUUGUUCACAUACUAGCAAAGGACCUUGAAAAUGAGCUUUUUGACUUGGCCAUUUCCUGUGAAGUAGUGGUUUGCUGUCGUGUUGCUCCUCUACAAAAGGCUGGGGUUGUUGAUCUAAUUAAGAGUAGGACCAAUGAUUUGACACUGGCUAUAGGUGAUGGGGCAAAUGAUGUUUCAAUGAUCCAAAUGGCUGAUGUUGGAGUUGGGAUAUCUGGUCAGGAGGGGCGCCAAGCAGUUAUGGCAUCAGAUUUUGCAAUGGGGCAAUUCAGAUUCUUGAAAAGGUUAUUGCUAGUUCAUGGGCAUUGGAAUUAUCAGCGUGUUGGCUAUUUGGUUUUAUACAAUUUCUACAGAAAUGCUGUGUUUGUCUUGAUGCUUUUCUGGUAUAUCUUGUAUACGGCAUUUUCAACUACUUCUGCAUUGACAGAUUGGAGCAGCGUCUUCUAUUCUGUCAUAUAUACCUCUGUGCCCACAAUAAUUGUUGGCAUUUUUGACAAGAACUUGAGUCACAAGACGCUGCUUGAGUAUCCAAAACUUUACAGGGCUGGGCAUAGACAAGAGAGCUACAAUUCACGUCUUUUCUGGCUCACGAUGAUUGAUACGGUUUGGCAAAGUCUUGUUCUUUUCUACGUUCCAUUUUUGGUUUACAGAUUCGGGCCAAUUGACAUUUGGAGUAUUGGAAGCCUGUGGACGAUUGCAGUUGUUGUUCUUGUGAAUGUUCACUUGGCUAUGGACAUACAUCGAUGGGUAUUCCUUACCCACGCUGCUACCUGGGGCUCCAUACUCAUCACAUAUGUUUGUCUGGUGAUCCUGGACUCAUUUCCCAGCUUUCCUAAUUACUGGACGAUCUACCAUCUUGUGAAGUCACCAACCUACUGGUUAACCAUUUUGUUGAUAACGAUUCUGGCUCUGCUUCCACGGUUUCUUCUGAAAAUCCUCAAGCAGACAUUUUGGCCGUCAGAUAUCCAGAUUGCCCGUGAAGCUGAAAAAUUCAGAAAGCCACCAUACUAUGUGGCUGAGUCGGAGUCAAGACAACCAGCUUGAUAUAUACUGCUGCUGCACUGAGACAGUGAAACACGACUCCUGUGUCAUCUCUAUCGACUCAGUGGUCACUGGUCAGACGGCUCUCCUGCCGGUCGGGAAGUUGUGGAUAGACUCUUGCAGGUACAGCAAAGUUUCCGGUCCUUGCAGAUGAUUCUAUGCUUUUGACAGGAGAGCCCAUUCAGAGAAGAGCCAUGGUCAUCUGCUAAAAAGAUUGUAUAGAUCAAGAUGAUCCUAUGCUUUUGACAGGUGGGAUCACAUUCAGAGAACAGCCAUGGUUAUCUGCUAAAAAGAGUGUAUAAAUCAAAAGGUGCAUCGAGGCUAAGGGAGUCGCUGGCGUUCCAACUGCAGGACUUUGUUCGUCGUAAAAAAAUUGUACCAAUUGUACCAUAUAAAUGGAGUUAUAGAGGUACGCUAAUGGCAAAAAGAAGUUGGAGGCAAUUCGAUUUUGUAUCUUCGUGGAUCCUUUUCUCAAAUCCACUUGUAUGUAGAAACACUAAUUGAAACGCGAAAAAGCUUCAUUCGA